Molecule: ribosomal RNA, 213 nt
Filed under: uncultured bacterium
Lineage: Bacteria
Description: partial 16S ribosomal RNA
Rfam family: Bacterial small subunit ribosomal RNA
Source: RNAcentral
CGUGAGUAACACGUAGGAACGUACCCCAAAGUGAGGGAUAAGCACCAGAAAUGGUGUCUAAUACCGCAUGUGGCCUCCGGGCUAAAGCUUUAUGCGCUUUGGGAACGGCCUGCGCAUGAUUAGCUUGUUGGUGAGGUAAUAGCUCACCAAGGCGACGAUCAUUAGCUGGUCUGAGAGGAUGACCAGCCAGACUGGGACUGAGACACGGCCCAG